RNAcentral lists this unclassified non-coding RNA (502 nucleotides) under Hevea brasiliensis (rubber tree). Lineage: Eukaryota; Viridiplantae; Streptophyta; Magnoliopsida; Malpighiales; Euphorbiaceae. The record is from RNAcentral.
GCGCUCGCAAACCAUCCUGAUAUCCUCAACUAGGCUGCCUGACCGCAUAAAGUAGUUUAAUAAAUUUAAUUGCUUUAGUUAGUUUUUAGCUGCUUCUGCAACCGAUCUCUUCCUCUCUCCCUCUGCGACUGUGAUUUCCUUACAACUGUGACAUCUUCAACUGUUAUCUUUGUAACGCAUUUUCCUUGCAACUGUCACUGCAUUGGACUGUGGUCUAUUUUGCAUCUUGAAAACACUCUUCACUGUAAUAAUUUCUGAUGGUCAAUAUGGCCAUGGCUGUCUCUGCAAUUGGAUUUGAAGGUUAUGAGAAGAGGCUGGAAAUAUCGUUUUUUGAGCUUGGCAUUUUUGUUGAUCCUGAAGGAAAAGGCUUUCGAUCUCUGUCCAAGUCUCAGUUGGAUGAGAUUCUUGGACCAGCCGAGUGCACUAUUGUUGAUUCACUGUCCAAUGAUCAUGUCGACUCUUACGUACUUUCUGAGUCUAGCCUCUUUGUAUAUCCUUACAA